Python bivittatus (Burmese python) is the source of this 3624-nucleotide RNA transcript. It is a transcript of the gene named zinc finger protein RFP-like, with no coding region annotated. NCBI's taxonomy places the organism in Eukaryota, Metazoa, Chordata, Lepidosauria, Squamata, Pythonidae. The record is from RefSeq and is a predicted model, not a curated record.
GGGGGAGCCUCGGUCGCCAUGGAGAACCCGGUGGAAAGCCUGCACAAAGAAGCCACUUGCUCCGUGUGCCUGGAGUACUUCCGAGACCCGGUCUCCAUCCCUUGCGGCCACAGCUUUUGCCGCGCCUGCAUCACCCAGUGCUGGAAGGAGCAGAGCACCAACUUCUCCUGCCCGCAGUGCCGGGAGAUCGCCCUGCAGAGGAAUUUCAGACCCAACCGGGAGCUGGGAAACGUGGUGGAAAUCACCAGGCGGCUGAGCCUGCACGCCUUGCAGGGGGCCGCUGGGCAGGAAGGAGGGGAGGAGAAGCCGCUGUGCGACAAGCAUCAGGAGGCGCUGAAGCUCUUCUGCAGCGAGGAAGAAAGCCUCAUUUGCUGCAUCUGCAGGGAGGCACGAGCUCACCGGAGCCACACGGUGUUCCCCGUCGAAGAGGCCGCCCAGGACUACAAGAAAGAAAUUGAAUGCCGUCUGCAGAAACUGAAGGAAGAACUGGAGAAACUUCUACGACUAAAACUGGCUGGUGAGGUUAGACAUCAGGAAUCUCUGAGUCAGACAGACAUCGAGAGGCAAAAGGUGGUGAUGGAAUUUGAGCAAGUGCAUCGCUUUCUGGAUGAGCAGGAGAAACUUCUGCUGGCCCAGCUGAAGGAGAUGGAGAGGGAGAUUGUCAAGCACCAGAAAGUCUACGACACAAAGGUUUCUGAUGAAAUUGUUGCUCUCACCAUCCUGAUUGAUGAGAUAGAAGAGAAGUUUGAGCAGCCAGACAGUGAAUUCCUUCAGGAUAUCAGAAGUACAUUGUGCAGGUUUGAUAAGGAGCCCUUUCAGGUCCCCGAGGGGAUUCCAGCCAAGAUGGAAAAGAGACUGGAGGAAUUCUCUGAGAAAAAUACAGCACUUGCAGAAAUGCUGAAGAAUCUCAAAGACACUUUGCCAUCAGAACUAGGAACCGAAUGGGUUAACAUAACCCUUGACAAAGACACGGCAAACCCCCAAGUCAUAAUUUCUGAGGAUCGAAAAAGUGCGAGAUGGGACGUCACCCGGACUGACGUGCCACAUAAUCCUAAGCGAUUUAAGUCUUCUUGCUGUGUGCUGGGUUGUGAAGGAUUCACAUCUGGGAGACACUAUUGGGAAGUCAAUGUAGAAGAUGGAGGCAUCUGGGCCAUAGGAGUAGCCAGGGGCUCUGUGAGGAGGAAGACAGAACUCAAGCUCACUCCAGAGGAGGGGAUUUGGGCCUUGCAAGGAGAUUUUGGUCAAUACCAGGCUCUCACCUCACCUGUAACAGCUCUGCCACUCCUUUGCACUCCCAGAAGGAUCAGAGUAUUUCUGGACUAUGAAAGGGGGCAGGUAGAAUUCUUCAAUGCCGACACAAAAGAUUCAAUCUUCCUUUUUCCCUCAGCAUUGUUUGCUGGUGAGAGAAUUUUUCCCUUUUUUAAGGUGUUGCUGGCUCAGCUGACGCUUGAUGGCUGAAGAGUUUCCUUUGAGGAAGAUGUACCGGCAUUACCUCAAAUCUGAAAUCAAGAGGGGUUUAAAGGAAGAAUUAUGCAUGUUGAAUGAAGUUCUGGUCUGCUUUAAUAACCGCAAGUACUAAAAAGUGGAAGUGGUUUCUCCAGAUGUAAUUAGUAUAGAUCAGUGGGGUGCUGUGUUGUAUAUAUGACAUUGAAUGUGGAUGAUGUCUGCACUGUAAUCUAGGAAGUGGAUUAGAACAAUUGGUUUUAAUUACAUAGUAGCCUGCAAAGUUGUAUAGUUUUGUCGAUUCACCAGUUCCUCAUCUGUUGUAAUAGAUCCAUAUCAUUUUGUCAAAGAAGACGGCAUGAACAUCAUCUGAGGCCUUUGUGUUUUGUCUGUUACUAAUUUUUAAUGAUAAAUGUUACCUUUUAUUGGGUUUCUUUUUUAGACAAGCUGCGUCCCUAUGGACUGAAAAACAGGGUGAAAAUAAUAAAGAUGUGAAGAUUGCAUGUGUAGAUCAAGGAGAUCUGUUUGGAGCCUGCCAUGUUCUUUUUAGAGUCUCUGGAGUGCCAGGGUGAGUCAUUUGAUAAAUAGUCCUCGGGUAUGCUGCCUAAGUGGACAUAAUCAUGCAAGGAAGCCCCCACCAUAGCGUUGAGUCUCCCAGUAGGAUCACAACGGCUUUACGAUGUUUUAUAUUUAAGACUGUCUUUUCUAAUUGCACCCAGAUGUCAGGGGAGAAGCAGGGAGAGGAAUAUGGGGAUAGGUAUACAUUUAGCAGCACAACUUCAGAUGAUUUGAAUUUAAAUUGAAUAGCUGGAAGAUAGAAGGAGUCUUCUCUGAAGGUCAGUUCCUACCCUUGCCAGCCCUACUCUGCCUUGACAAGUAUGCAUAAUCCCCGAGGCCCGCCCUUUUAACUUGAAUUUACAUGCUGGUGUAGACCAUGAUCUAAAGCCUAGUAGGUGAGCAUCUUCAUCACCGGUGGUUAACCGUGUCUCUUGGAGUGCUAUGAUGUCGAACGUGGAGAGGAAUUCCAACAGAUCUCCGUUUGACAUUCUGUUCUUCCAUCUGGCUAUAUUCCAUGACAAUAGUUGAAGAGAAAUUUCUUGUUUGUUGUCAGAAGGGGUAGCUGGCAAUUUGUUGAGGUCUGUGGUUGGAUGGUGUGGCUCAUGCAGUCAUUCUACAGGUGAGAUGAGGUCCAAAAUUCAUUCAGUAUCUAGGAAGGUACACUGAUUGUAAUUUGGCCUACCUUUUCUGCUCUCUUGCUGCUGUAUCGAGUCAGGUAAGUUUUGUAAUAGUUUAUGCAUAAGAUAGUGAACUUUAGCAAGUUGUUGUUUCAUGUCUAUAUCACUGGCCAGAGCAGUUGUCACAGCCCUGGACAGUGGUCUUCUUCCUACCUCAGGGGCUACCUUUGCAUAAUUUCCUGUGGUUCCUAGAGCAGAGGUUUGCCUGGAGAGCUGGAGACUAUAUGGGUUACUGGAUGUAUUUAGGCUACAAAUAUCCAUUUCAUGUUCCUGGUGUGGCCCAUCAUCUAGCUCUAGUUAUGGUUCCCAGGAUUUUAGACAGUUAAGACCAUCCUCUUGUCUAUUGACAGCAUCCAAGUCAGGGGAGGGGGCCAAGAUGCCCACAAGUCCUCUCUCAGAGUACUUACAGUUGCCUUGGGUGUUUGGUAAAACCAAAUGGAUUAGAAGUUCGUCAGCGUUGUGUGUUGUCACUAAAGUUUCUCUCAGAUCAUCCAGCCUUUUAAUAAUGUCAGCUUGUUCCAAGUCUGACAAGGCACUGAAGGUGUUAAUCAGGUUUUCUUCCAGGAGGUCAUCUGUGCCCUGUCUUGCUGUAAGCAGCACAGAUUGUUUGCCUGGACAGUCAUUUUGGACAGCAGAGCUGGUAGAAUGUCCUUGAGGUUAUCUAAAGUUGAGUGGUCACAUUUGUUCUUGAAAGCGACCAGAUUGGCCAGACUGGCUUAGGAGUGGGCUGAGUUCUGACUGAAACACACACAAGUAUUGGAAAAAUUGAAAAAAUAUGCAGAAAGGGCCUCAUUUUAAACAGCAUGUUGGAGAUUAUGGAUGGCCUAAAUGUAAGUAAAAUUUUCUCAAGGCUUUUGCUGGAUGGAAGCCAUUCGGCUUUCUGUCAGGUUCAGCCCAAAGAACUCCAAGAGCCAAUGCAAAUACAGUUCUGUUGCAUUUAUUAGCU